RNAcentral lists this ribosomal RNA (838 nucleotides) under Halomonas sp. WS_11M. RNAcentral describes it as "bacterial SSU rRNA". It matches the Rfam family "Bacterial small subunit ribosomal RNA", at positions 639 to 1481 of the family's 1533-position model. Lineage: Bacteria; Pseudomonadati; Pseudomonadota; Gammaproteobacteria; Oceanospirillales; Halomonadaceae. The record is from RNAcentral.
AGCUAGAGUGCAGAGAGAAGGUAGAAUCCCCGUGUAGCGUGAAAUGCGUAGAGAUCGGGAGGAAUACCAGUGCGAAGCGGCCUUCUGGACUGACACUGACGCUGAGGUGCGAAAGCGUGGGUAGCAAACAGGAUUAGAUACCCUGGUAGUCCACGCCGUAAACGAUGUCGACUAGCCGUUGGGGUCCUCGAGACCUUUGUGGCGCAGUUAACGCGAUAAGUCGACCGCCUGGGGAGUACGGCCGCAAGGUUAAAACUCAAAUGAAUUGACGGGGGGCCCGCACAAGCGGUGGAGCAUGUGGUUUAAUUCGAUGCAACGCGAAGAACCUUACCUACCCUUGACAUCCUCGGAAGCCGACAGAGAUGUUGGUGUGCCUUCGGGAGCCGAGUGACAGGUGCUGCAUGGCUGUCGUCAGCUCGUGUUGUGAAAUGUUGGGUUAAGUCCCGUAACGAGCGCAACCCUUGUCCCUAUUUGCCAGCGAUUCGGUCGGGAACUCUAGGGAGACUGCCGGUGACAAACCGGAGGAAGGUGGGGACGACGUCAAGUCAUCAUGGCCCUUACGGGUAGGGCUACACACGUGCUACAAUGGUCGGUACAAAGGGUUGCGAGUUCGCGAGGACGAGCUAAUCCCGAAAAGCCGAUCUCAGUCCGGAUCGGAGUCUGCAACUCGACUCCGUGAAGUCGGAAUCGCUAGUAAUCGUGAAUCAGAAUGUCACGGUGAAUACGUUCCCGGGCCUUGUACACACCGCCCGUCACACCAUGGGAGUGGACUGCACCAGAAGUGGUUAGCCUAACUCUUAUGGGAGGGCGAUCACGUAGAAGAUGGAACGCCCUGGCC